ACUAAGGAACAGGGUAAGAAACAAAA
Molecule: non-coding RNA, 26 nt
Filed under: Cricetulus griseus (Chinese hamster)
Lineage: Eukaryota; Metazoa; Chordata; Mammalia; Rodentia; Cricetidae
Source: RNAcentral